RNAcentral lists this ribosomal RNA (460 nucleotides) under uncultured bacterium. Its description in RNAcentral is "partial 16S ribosomal RNA". It matches the Rfam family "Bacterial small subunit ribosomal RNA", at positions 338 to 795 of the family's 1533-position model. The record is from RNAcentral.
CCUACGGGUGGCAGCAGUGAGGAAUAUUGGUCAAUGGGCGUAAGCCUGAACCAGCCAAGUCGCGUGAGGGAUGAAGGUUCUAUGAAUCGUAAACCGCUUUUAUACGGGAAUAAAGUGCGGGACGUGUCCAGUUUUGUAAGUAUCGUACGAAUAAGGAUCGGCUAACUCCGUGCCAGCAGCCGCGGUAAUACGGAGGAUCCAAGCGUUAUCCGGAUUUAUUGGGUUUAACGGGUGCGUAGGCGGCCUUUUAAGUCAUAGGUGAAAGUCUGUGGCUCAACCAUAGAAUUGCCGUUGAAACUGGUAGGCUUGAGUAUGUUUGAGGCAGGCGGAAUGCAUGGUGUAGCGGUGAAAUGCUUAGAUAUCACACAGAACCCCGAUUGCGAAGGCAGCCUGCCAAGCCAUGUCUGACGCUGAUGCACGAAAGCGUGGGGAUCAAACAGGAUUAGAUACCCUUGUAGUC